Molecule: ribosomal RNA, 406 nt
Filed under: uncultured bacterium
Lineage: Bacteria
Description: partial 16S ribosomal RNA
Rfam family: Bacterial small subunit ribosomal RNA
Source: RNAcentral
AUUGAACGCUGGCGGCAGGCCUAACACAUGCAAGUCGAGCGAGCGGCGGACGGGUGAGUAAUGUCUGGGAAACUGCCUGAUGGAGGGGGAUAACUACUGGAAACGGUAGCUAAUACCGCAUACCAUCAGAUGUGCCCAGAUGGGAUUCGCUAGUAGGUGUGGUAACGGCUCACCUAGGCGAAGAUCCCUAGCUGGUCUGCGAGGAUGACCAGCCACACUGGAACUGAGACACGGUCCAGACUCCUACGGGAGGCAGAAGUGGGGAAUAUUGCACAAGGGGCGCAAGCCUGAUGCAGCCAUGCCGCGUGUGUGAAGAAGGCCUUCGGGUUUGAAAGCACUUUCAGCGGGGAGGCGUUACCCGCAGAAGAAGCACCGGCUAACUCCGCGCCAGCCGCCGCGGUAAUUC